This 485-nucleotide ribosomal RNA is filed under the name uncultured bacterium. Its description in RNAcentral is "partial 16S ribosomal RNA". It matches the Rfam family "Bacterial small subunit ribosomal RNA", at positions 29 to 523 of the family's 1533-position model. The record is from RNAcentral.
AGUGAACGCUGGCGGCGUGCUUAACACAUGCAAGUCGAACGAGAACGGAAUAUAGCUUGCUAUAUUUGUCAGCUAAGUGGCGCACGGGUGAGUAAUGUAUAGAUAACCUGCCCUUAAGAAAGGAAUAACAGUUGGAAACGACUGCUAAUGCCCUAUAUGCCUUUAAUACAUAAGUAUGCAAGGGAAACGCUUUAGUGCCUAAGGAUGGGUCUGUAUGGUAUCAGCUUGUUGGAGAGGUAAUGGCUCACCAAGGCUAUGACGCCUAACUGGUUUGAGAGGAUGAUCAGUCACACUGGAACUGAGACACGGUCCAGACUCCUACGGGAGGCAGCAGUGGGGAAUAUUGCACAAUGGACGAAAGUCUGAUGCAGCAACGCCGCGUGGAGGAUGACACAUUUCGGUGCGUAAACUCCUUUUAUAUAGGAAGAUAAUGACGGUACUAUAUGAAUAAGCACCGGCUAACUCCGUGCCAGCCGCCGCAGUAA